UGCCAGCAGCCGCGGUAAUACGUAGGGAGCGAGCGUUAUCCGGAAUUAUUGGGCGUAAAGCGUGCGUAGGCGGUUCGUUAAGUCAAAUCUGAAAGCCCACAGCUUAACUGUGGAGGGUGAUUUGAAACUGGCGAGCUUGAGUACGGCAGAGGUUAGUGGAAUUCAAUGUGUAGCGGUGGAAUACGUAGAUAUAUUGAGGAACACCAGUGGCGAAGGCGGCUAACUGGACCGGAACUGACGCUGAGGCACGAAAGCGUUGGUAGCAAACAGGAUUAGAUA
Molecule: ribosomal RNA, 279 nt
Filed under: uncultured bacterium
Lineage: Bacteria
Description: partial 16S ribosomal RNA
Rfam family: Bacterial small subunit ribosomal RNA
Source: RNAcentral